Molecule: ribosomal RNA, 519 nt
Filed under: Bicryptella sp. BFS-2018
Lineage: Eukaryota; Metazoa; Arthropoda; Insecta; Hymenoptera; Ichneumonidae
Description: partial 16S large subunit ribosomal RNA
Rfam family: Archaeal large subunit ribosomal RNA (bases 393-519)
Source: RNAcentral
AAACAUGUCUUUAAGAUUAUAAUUUAAAGUYUGAUYUGCUCCAUGAAAUUAAUUAAAUAGCUGCAGAAUUCUAACUGUACAAAGGUAGCAUAAUCAAUUGUUUUUUAAUUGAAAGCUGGAAUGAAAGAUUUGAUGAAAAAAAUAUUGUCUCUAAUUUAGUAAGAUUAGAAUUUUUUUUGUAGUAAAAAUACUAUAUUGAUUUUAAAAGACGAGAAGACCCUAUAGAUUUUAAUAUUUUUAAAUUAAGUUUAAAUUAAUUAAUAAGUAUAUUUUUAAUAAAUAAAUAUUUGAUUGGGGUAAUUAUUAAAUUAAUAGAAUUUUAAUUUAUAGGUGACAAUAAUUAUUGAGUUUUUGAUCUUUAAAUUAAAAUUAAGAGAAUAAAAUACCUUAGGGAUAACAGCGUAAUUUUUUUAGAGAGAUCAUAUUAAUAAAAAAGUUUGCGACCUCGAUGUUGAAUUAAGAUUAAAUUUUAAUGAAGAAGUUAAAAAUUUUUGGUCKGUYCGACCAUUAAAAUCUUAC